Molecule: long non-coding RNA, 311 nt
Organism: Raphanus sativus (radish)
Lineage: Eukaryota; Viridiplantae; Streptophyta; Magnoliopsida; Brassicales; Brassicaceae
Exons: 3
Source: RefSeq, a predicted model, not a curated record
AUGUAAUGAAGAGGAGAAGACCAAUGGUAUCUGAACUUGACACGAUCAGCCCAAUCACACAAGCUUGACAGGUCUCCUUGUGCAGAUUCAGGUGAUGGUGUGGCCUUCAAUACCCCAGCCAUGGACGUUAGGUGCUGAGUAAAGAAACAAAGCAGUGAUGAUCAUCACUACAUGUUAUAUGGUGAUGAAGAAUGGAGACGUAUAAGGAAGUGAAUCCGCAGAUCUUUAUGGAGGAAAGAUGUGUGUAUUGGUGUGAAAAGCUUGUUAAGGUCAAAGUGAAAGAUGGUAUAUUAUAUUUUGGUAGGUAUGGA